UGGGGGGUAUUGCGCAAUGGGCGGAAGCCUGACGCAGCGACGCCGCGUGAGGGACGGAGGCCUUCGGGUUGUGAACCUCUUUCGCCGGUGGAGAAGGCGCCCCCGUGUGGGGUGCUGACUGUAGCCGGGUUAAGAAGCGCCGGCUAACUACGUGCCAGCAGCCGCGGUAAUACGUAGGGCGCGAGCGUUGUCCGGAGUUACUGGGCGUAAAGGGCUUGUAGGCGGCCGGUCGCGUCCGCCGUGAAAUCCCCUGGCUCAACCGGGGGCGUGCGGUGGGUACGGGCCGGCUUGAGUGCGGUAGGGGAGGCUGGAACUCCUGGUGUAGCGGUGGAAUGCGCAGAUAUCAGGAAGAACACCGGUGGCGAAGGCGGGUCUCUGGGCCGUUACUGACGCUGAGGAGCGAGAGCGUGGGGAGCGAACA
This 421-nucleotide ribosomal RNA is filed under the name uncultured Actinomyces sp. RNAcentral's name for it is "bacterial SSU rRNA". It matches the Rfam family "Bacterial small subunit ribosomal RNA", at positions 355 to 774 of the family's 1533-position model. Lineage: Bacteria; Bacillati; Actinomycetota; Actinomycetes; Actinomycetales; Actinomycetaceae. The record is from RNAcentral.